UACGGGGGGGGCAAGCGUUGUUCGGAAUUACUGGGCGUAAAGGGCGCGUAGGCGGUUGGAUAAGUCAGCUGUGAAAACCACGGGCUUAACUCGUGGCCUGCAGUUGAGGCUGUCUGGCUUGAGUGUGGGAGAGGAGAGUGGAAUUCCUGGUGUAGCGGUGAAAUGCGUAGAUAUCAGGAGGAACACCGGUGGCGAAGGCGGCUCUCUGGACCACAACUGACGCUGAGGCGCGAAAGCUAGGGGAGCAAACAGG
RNAcentral lists this ribosomal RNA (253 nucleotides) under uncultured bacterium. RNAcentral describes it as "partial 16S ribosomal RNA". It matches the Rfam family "Bacterial small subunit ribosomal RNA", at positions 524 to 776 of the family's 1533-position model. The record is from RNAcentral.